AAGCGGCAAUGGACCGAUAUCCACAGUUACCGUCCGCUUUCACAUCCACAACGUCACGAAUGAAACCUUGAAUGAAUGGCACAAAUUGAUCCAACAUCGAGAUGAUCCUUGUUGGCUGAGGCGGUUCAGAACAUGAUGCACUACAUUUGACUGGAGAGUUGCUGCUUUGAACAGAAUGAAAAGCAUCAACAUACUCCCAGUAAGACGGAUCACGCUUUGUGGAUCUUUGACUU
Molecule: long non-coding RNA, 233 nt
Filed under: Glycine max (soybean)
Lineage: Eukaryota; Viridiplantae; Streptophyta; Magnoliopsida; Fabales; Fabaceae
Description: long non-coding RNA (GMAX_LNC000810)
Source: RNAcentral